GUGCACGCUGGCGGUAGGCCUAACACAUGCAAGUCGAACGGCAGCACCGUAUGAGCUUGCUCUUACGGGUGGCGAGUGGCGGACGGGUGAGGAAUACAUCGGAAUCUACUUUUUCGUGGGGGAUAACGUAGGGAAACUUACGCUAAUACCGCAUACGACCUACGGGUGAAAGCAGGGGAUCUUCGGACCUUGCGCGAUUGAAUGAGCCGAUGUCGGAUUAGCUAGUUGGCGGGGUAAAGGCCCACCAAGGCGACGAUCCGUAGCUGGUCUGAGAGGAUGAUCAGCCACACUGGAACUGAGACACGGUCCAGACUCCUACGGGAGGCAGCAGUGGGGAAUAUUGGACAAUGGGCGCAAGCCUGAUCCAGCCAUACCGCGUGGGUGAAGAAGGCCUUCGGGUUGUAAAGCCCUUUUGUUGGGAAAGAAAAGCAGUAGGUUAAUACCCCGCUGUUCUGACGGUACCCAAAGAAUAAGCACCGGCUAACUUCGUG
RNAcentral lists this ribosomal RNA (491 nucleotides) under uncultured bacterium. RNAcentral's name for it is "partial 16S ribosomal RNA". It matches the Rfam family "Bacterial small subunit ribosomal RNA", at positions 29 to 507 of the family's 1533-position model. The record is from RNAcentral.